This 85-nucleotide transfer RNA is filed under the name Bacteriophage sp. RNAcentral describes it as "tRNA-Ser". RNAcentral also lists the same sequence under 1 other name. The record is from RNAcentral.
UUGAUUUUUCGACUCUGUAUCAUCGGUCUCGAAAACCGGAGUGGGGGCAACUCCACCGGGGGUUCAAAUCCCCCUCUCUCCGCCA